RNAcentral lists this ribosomal RNA (465 nucleotides) under uncultured bacterium. Its description in RNAcentral is "partial 16S ribosomal RNA". It matches the Rfam family "Bacterial small subunit ribosomal RNA", at positions 338 to 795 of the family's 1533-position model. The record is from RNAcentral.
CCUACGGGUGGCUGCAGUAGGGAAUUUUCCACAAUGGACGAAAGCCUGAUGGAGCAACGCCGCGUGAGUGAAGAAGGGUUUCGGCUCGUAAAGCUCUGUCGGUAGGGAAGAAAGAUAGAGGUAGUAACUAGCCUUUAUUUGACGGUAAUUUCUUAGAAAGUCACGGCUAACUACGUGCCAGCAGCCGCGGUAAUACGUAGGGGGCAAGCGUUGGCCGGAAUUAUUGGGCGUAAAGCGAGUGCAGGCGGUUCAAUAAGUCUGAUGUGAAAGCCUUCGGCUCAACCGGAGAAUUGCAUCAGAAACUGUUGAGCUUGAGUGCAGAAGAGGAGAGUGGAACUCCAUGUGUAGCGGUGGAAUGCGUAGAUAUAUGGAAGAACACCAGUGGCGAAGGCGGCUCUCUGGUCUGCAACUGACGCUGAGGCUCGAAAGCAUGGGGAGCGAACAGGAUUAGAUACCCGGGUAGUC